RNAcentral lists this ribosomal RNA (406 nucleotides) under uncultured bacterium. RNAcentral's name for it is "partial 16S ribosomal RNA". It matches the Rfam family "Bacterial small subunit ribosomal RNA", at positions 30 to 526 of the family's 1533-position model. The record is from RNAcentral.
AUUGAACGCUGGCGGCAGGCCUAACACAUGCAAGUCGAACGAGUGGCGGACGGGUGAGUAAUGUCUGGGAAACUGCCUGCUGGAGGGGGAUAUCUACUGGAAACGGUAGCUAAUACCGCAUACCAUCGGAUGUGCCCAGAUGGGAUUAGCUAGUAGGUGGGGUAAAGGCUCACCUAGGCGACGAUCCCUAGCUGGUCUGAGAGGAUGACCAGCCACACUGGAACUGAGACACGAUCCAGACGCCUACGGGAGGCAGCAGUGGGGAAUAUUGCGCAGUGGGCGCAAGCCUGAUGCAGCCAUGCCGCGUGUAUGAAGAGGGCCGUCGGGUUGUAAAGUACUUUCAGCGGGGAGGCGUUACCCGCAGAAGAAGCACCGGCUAACUCCGUGCCAGCAGCCGCGGUAAUAC